GAUGAACGCUGACAGCAUGCUUAACACAUGCAAGUCAACUUGAACUUCGGUUCGGGUGGCGGACGCGUGAGUAACGCGUGAAUAACUUGCCUCACAGAUAGGGGCACCAUUUGGAAACGUAUGCUAAUACAUGAUAUUCUGAUUAUAUAGCAUCGUAUCAUUAUCAAGGUUAUAUGCGCUGUGAUUGAGCUUUGCGUCCCAUUAGCUAGUUGGAGAGGUAACGGCUAACCAAGGCGAUGAGGGGUAGCCGGCCGGAGAGGUUGAUCGGCAAAUAGGGGACUGGGACACGGCCCGUCCUCCUACGGGAGGAAGAGUUGGGGAAUAUGGGACAAUGGACGAAGAGUCAUAUACAGCAAUUCUGUGUGCACGAUGAGGUUUCGCGGAAUGUAAAGUGCUUGCAGUUGAGAAGAAAAAAAUGACGGUACCAAGAGAAGAAGUGACGGCUAAAUACGUG
This 454-nucleotide ribosomal RNA is filed under the name uncultured bacterium. RNAcentral describes it as "partial 16S ribosomal RNA". It matches the Rfam family "Bacterial small subunit ribosomal RNA", at positions 28 to 507 of the family's 1533-position model. The record is from RNAcentral.